UGGGGAAUAUUGCACAAUGGGCGCAAGCCUGAUGCAGCCAUGCCGCGUGUAUGAAGAAGGCCUUCGGGUUGUAAAGUACUUUCAGCGGGGAGGAAGGGAGUAAAGUUAAUACCUUUGCUCAUUGACGUUACCCGCAGAAGAAGCACCGGCUAACUCCGUGCCAGCAGCCGCGGUAAUACGGAGGGUGCAAGCGUUAAUCGGAAUUACUGGGCGUAAAGCGCACGCAGGCGGUUUGUUAAGUCAGAUGUGAAUCCUCGGGCUCAACCUGGGAACUGCAUCUGAUACUGGCAAGCUUGAGUCUCGUAGAGGGGGGUAGAAUUCCAGGUGUAGCGGUGAAAUGCGUAGAGAUCUGGAGGAAUACCGGUGGCGAAGGCGGCCCCCUGGACGAAGACUGACGCUCAGGUGCGAAAGCGUGGGGAGCAAACAGG
RNAcentral lists this ribosomal RNA (428 nucleotides) under Chloroflexota bacterium. Its description in RNAcentral is "Chloroflexi bacterium partial 16S ribosomal RNA". It matches the Rfam family "Bacterial small subunit ribosomal RNA", at positions 355 to 776 of the family's 1533-position model. The record is from RNAcentral. Lineage: Bacteria; Bacillati; Chloroflexota.